ACGCACGCUGGCGGCGUGCUUAACCCCUGCCAGUCGCACGGAAAGGCCCUGCUUGCAGGGUGCUCGAGUGGCGAACGGGUGAGUAACACGUGGGUGAUCUGCCCCUUACUUUGGGAUAAGCCUGGGAAACUGGGUCUAAUACUGGAUAGGACCAUGCUGUAGGUGGUGUGGUGGAAAGAUUAGUUUCGGUAAGGGAUGAGCUCGCGGCCUAUCAGCUUGUUGGUGGGGUAAUGGCCUACCAAGGCGUCGACGGGUAGCCGGCCUGAGAGGGUGGACGGCCACAUUGGGACUGAGAUACGGCCCAGACUCCUACGGGAGGCAGCAGAGGGGAAUAUUGCACAAUGGGCGCAAGCCUGAUGCAGCGACGCCGCGUGGUGGAUGACGGCCUUCGGGUUGUAAACUCCUUUCAGCCAUGACGAAGCCCUUGUGGUGACGGUAGUGGUAGAAGAAGCACCGGCUAACUACGUG
RNAcentral lists this ribosomal RNA (468 nucleotides) under uncultured bacterium. RNAcentral's name for it is "partial 16S ribosomal RNA". It matches the Rfam family "Bacterial small subunit ribosomal RNA", at positions 29 to 507 of the family's 1533-position model. The record is from RNAcentral.